This 301-nucleotide ribosomal RNA is filed under the name uncultured bacterium. RNAcentral's name for it is "partial 16S ribosomal RNA". It matches the Rfam family "Bacterial small subunit ribosomal RNA", at positions 509 to 809 of the family's 1533-position model. The record is from RNAcentral.
CAGCAGCCGCGGUAAUACGUAGGUGGCAAGCGUUGUCCGGAAUUAUUGGGCGUAAAGCGCGCGCAGGCGGAUCAGUCAGUCUGUCUUAAAAGUUCGGGGCUUAACCCCGUGAGGGGAUGGAAACUGCUGAUCUAGAGUAUCGGAGAGGAAAGUGGAAUUCCUAGUGUAGCGGUGAAAUGCGUAGAUAUUAGGAAGAACACCAGUGGCGAAGGCGACUUUCUGGACGAAAACUGACGCUGAGGCGCGAAAGCCAGGGGAGCGAACAGGAUUAGAUACCCCAGUAGUCCCUGUCUCUUAUACA